Molecule: transfer RNA, 70 nt
Filed under: Loxodonta africana (African savanna elephant)
Lineage: Eukaryota; Metazoa; Chordata; Mammalia; Proboscidea; Elephantidae
Rfam family: tRNA
About the family: Transfer RNA (tRNA) molecules are approximately 80 nucleotides in length. Their secondary structure includes four short double-helical elements and three loops (D, anti-codon, and T loops).
Source: Rfam by way of RNAcentral
GCAUGGGUGGUUCAAUGGUAAAAUUCUCACCUUCCAUAGAGAGACCUGGGUUAGAUUCCUGGCCAGUGCA